RNAcentral lists this non-coding RNA (27 nucleotides) under Rattus norvegicus (Norway rat). The record is from RNAcentral. Lineage: Eukaryota; Metazoa; Chordata; Mammalia; Rodentia; Muridae.
UUGCAGGAUUUAGAAUAAAGCAGAAGA